This 336-nucleotide unclassified non-coding RNA is filed under the name soil metagenome. RNAcentral describes it as "partial contains 5.8S ribosomal RNA, internal transcribed spacer 2, and large subunit ribosomal RNA". The stretch from base 1 to 120 matches the Rfam family "5.8S ribosomal RNA", at positions 35 to 154 of the family's 154-position model. The record is from RNAcentral.
GAUGAAGAACGUAGCGAAAUGCGAUAAGUAAUGUGCAUUGCAGAAUUCAGUGAAUCAUCGAAUCUUUGAACGCACAUUGCGCCCGCCAGUAUUCUGGCGGGCAUGCCUGUUCGAGCGUCAUUUCAACCAUCAAGCCCCAGGCUUGUGUUGGGGACCUGCGGCUGCCGCAGGCCCUGAAAACCAGUGGCGGGCUCGCUGUCACACCGGGCGUAGUAGAUUUUAUCUCGCUCAGGGCGUGCUGCGGGUUCCGGCCGUUAAAAAGCCUUUUUUACCCAAGGUUGACCUCGGAUCAGGUAGGAAGACCCGCUGAACUUAAGCAUAUCAAUAAGCGGAGGA